UCUGGCUCAGAGCGAACGCUGGCGGCAGGCCUAACACAUGCAAGUCGAGCGCCCCGCAAGGGGAGCGGCAGACGGGAGAGUAACACGUGGGAACGUACCUUUCAGUUCGGAACAACCAAGGGAAACUUUGGCUAAUACCGAAUACGCCCUUACGGGGAAAGAUUUAUCGCUGAAAGAUCGGCCCGCGUCUGAUUAGCUUGUUGGUGAGGUAAUGGCUCACCAAGGCUACGAUCAGUAGCUGGUCUGAGAGGAUGAUCAGCCUCAUUGGGACUGAGACACGGCCCAAACUCCUACGGGAGGCAGCAGUGGGGAAUAUUGGACAAUGGGCGCAAGCCCUGAUCCAGCCAUGCCGCGUGGAUGAUGAAGGCCUUAGGGUUGUAAAGUCCUUUUAACGGGGAAGAUAAUGACGGUACCCGUAGAAUAAGCCCCGGCUAACUUACGUGCCAGCAGCCGC
Molecule: ribosomal RNA, 454 nt
Filed under: uncultured bacterium
Lineage: Bacteria
Description: bacterial SSU rRNA
Rfam family: Bacterial small subunit ribosomal RNA
Source: RNAcentral